GAAAGGAUUGGCUAAAAGCUGCUGAGCGUGAAGGGCACUUAAAUGGAUGGAAGCAGUGCACACUAAAUGCUGUAUAGCUCAGUGAAUACUGGCUCAAGACUGUAAGAGGCCUGUCUUAAGAAAGAUGGAGGUGGCCCCCAUCUUCCUUCCACAUGCUGCUCUGCCAAGGUUUUCUCAUUCUGAUCAACAUCUCCAAGCUUGGGGUCAGUCUGCCAAUAUCUUCUGUCUCAUGAGUGAUGGCACUGCAGAGUGGAAUGGAUCACAAUCAAAAAGCUGGUCUGUACAAGUGUUUUAAGGUAAUUUGGCCAGCAAAAGCUGCUGCUCAAGAACAUUUGAGAAACCCCAUCUCAGAUUGAUGUGCUUUGCCAGACGGGCUCAGCAAAUGACUUUCCCUGGUGCUAUUUUAAAAGUCUUUAGUAGAGUUGUGCAAUUCACGCUAAUUCUGAAGUCUCUUGGAACAUGCCAAAGAUGAAGCGUGCAUUUUCCAGACUGCAACAUUUUCCAGCUCUGUUCAUCCCUUUUAGGAGGACCUCUUGACUGUCAUUAUAUGCUGCACUGAAAGAACUAGUAAGUGGCUGCUCUCAAGUUGAUUGCAUUGCCACUGAUGCCAGAAAGCAUGCAAGAAAUAGCUCCACUGCCUGGAUGUGAUUUAAAGAUUGAGGAACAAGUAUCACUUCCAUCAAAGCUGGAAGAAACUUUGCUCCAGAAGUAAAUGGAAGGAGAAAUCAGUUCUCUUGUAUUUGAAGUGUGAUUUGGUUGAUUAGGCAACAUUAUAUGCUGUUAAUCAGUUAAGUAAAAGAUUCUUCUUGUGCCAAGUGUUUGAUUUUUUUUUUUUAUUUAGUAUGUUUGUAAGCACAGAAUACUAAAGCCAUAAAGUUUGAGAAACUUUA
Long non-coding RNA from Oxyura jamaicensis (ruddy duck), 890 nucleotides. RefSeq lists it as uncharacterized. The record is from RefSeq and is a predicted model, not a curated record. The transcript is spliced from 5 exons. NCBI's taxonomy places the organism in Eukaryota, Metazoa, Chordata, Aves, Anseriformes, Anatidae.